GGUGUGUACUGGUCUUGAUGGAAGCUUACCUCUUGGUGGGUCGGCAUGCCCUUCGUUGGGUGUGUCGAUUAACCAGGACUUUUACUUUGAGAAAAUUAGAGUGUUCAAAGCAGGCUUUCGCCCGGAUACAUUAGCAUGGAAUAAUAGAAUAGGACGCGCGUCUUUAUUUUGUUGGUUUCUAAAUUCGCCGUAAUGAUUAAUAGGGAUAGUCGGGGGCAUUCGUAUUGCUUGGUCAGAGGUGAAAUUCUUGGAUUCUAGCAAGACGAACUACUGCGAAAGCAUUUGCCAAGGAUGUUUUCAUUGAUCAAGAACGAAGGUUAGGGGAUCGAAAACGAUCAGAUACCGUUGUAGUCUUAACAGUAAACUAUGCCGACUAGGGAUCGGACAAGCACAAUCUAUGACUUGUUCGGCACCUGAAGAGAAAUCUUUAAGUCUAGGUUCGGGGGGGAGUAUGGUCGCAAGGCUGAAACUUAAAGGAAUUGACGGAAGGGCACCACCAGGUGUGGAGCCUGCGGCUUAAUUUGACUCAACACGGGGAAACUCACCAGGUCCAGACACAAUAAGGAUUGACAGAUUGAUAGCUCUUUCUUGAUCUUGUGGUUGGUGGUGCAUGGCCGUUCUUAGUUGGUGGAGUGAUUUGUCUGGUUAAUUCCGAUAACGAACGAGACCUUAACCUGCUAAAUAGACCCGGGGCCUUAGGGAACCGGCUGUCUUCUUAGAGGGACUGUAGG
RNAcentral lists this ribosomal RNA (731 nucleotides) under uncultured eukaryote. Its description in RNAcentral is "SSU rRNA". It matches the Rfam family "Eukaryotic small subunit ribosomal RNA", at positions 671 to 1426 of the family's 1831-position model. The record is from RNAcentral.